RNAcentral lists this ribosomal RNA (173 nucleotides) under uncultured bacterium. Its description in RNAcentral is "partial 16S ribosomal RNA". It matches the Rfam family "Bacterial small subunit ribosomal RNA", at positions 335 to 525 of the family's 1533-position model. The record is from RNAcentral.
ACUCCUACGGGAGGCAGCAGUGGGGAAUAUUGGACAAUGGGCGAAAGCCUGAUCCAGCCAUGCCGCGUGAGUGAUGAAGGCCCUAGGGUUGUAAAGCUCUUUCAACGGCGAAGAUAAUGACGGUAACUGUAGAAGAAGCCCCGGCUAACUUCGUGCCAGCAGCCGCGGUAAUA